UCUAAACGACUCUCGGCAACGGAUAUCUCGGCUCUCGCAUCGAUGAAGAACGUAGCGAAAUGCAAUACUUGGUGUGAAUUGCAGAAUCCCGUGAACCAUCGAGUCUUUGAACGCAAGUUGCGCCCGACGCCUUCGGGCUGAGGGCACGCCUGCCUGGGCGUC
RNAcentral lists this ribosomal RNA (162 nucleotides) under Plantago media. RNAcentral's name for it is "5.8S ribosomal RNA". It matches the Rfam family "5.8S ribosomal RNA". From Rfam's summary of the family: 5.8S ribosomal RNA (5.8S rRNA) is a component of the large subunit of the eukaryotic ribosome. It is transcribed by RNA polymerase I as part of the 45S precursor that also contains 18S and 28S rRNA. The record is from RNAcentral. Lineage: Eukaryota; Viridiplantae; Streptophyta; Magnoliopsida; Lamiales; Plantaginaceae.